UUCACCACCUUCUCCACUCAGC
RNAcentral lists this microRNA (22 nucleotides) under Dasypus novemcinctus (nine-banded armadillo). RNAcentral describes it as "dno-miR-197-3p". Its record names the gene dno-miR-197-3p. Lineage: Eukaryota; Metazoa; Chordata; Mammalia; Cingulata; Dasypodidae. The record is from miRBase by way of RNAcentral.